This 1370-nucleotide long non-coding RNA is filed under the name Anas platyrhynchos platyrhynchos (common mallard). RNAcentral describes it as "lncRNA (ENSAPLG00000027689.1)". Lineage: Eukaryota; Metazoa; Chordata; Aves; Anseriformes; Anatidae. The record is from RNAcentral.
CAUCGAGCACGGCAUUGCUAGUCGGUCAAGGGAGGUGAUUGUCCCGCUCUACUCUGCACUCUGCGGCCACACCUCGAGUACUGUGUGCAGUUUUGGCCACCACAGCACAAGAAGGACGUGAAACUAUUGGAGAGUGUCCAGAGAAGGGCCACAGAGAUGGUGAAGGGCCUUGAGGGGAAGAUGUAUGCCUUCAGCCAGUUCUCUUAGUACUCUGGGAUGAAUCCCAUCAGGCCCUAUAGUCUUGUAUGAAUUCAUCUGGAGCAGAAAAUCCCACACAAACUCGGAGUUGUUGAGAUUUUAUCGUUCCUGCAGUCACUGUCCUCCAGCUCAGGGCACCUGGAGUCCCACAGCCCAGCAUCAGUCUUAAAGGCAAAGAAAGCAUUAAAGAUCUCUGUGAAGUCGAUGACUCUGUUGGACCAUCCGCAUCUAGUAACAGACCAAUGCUUUCUCUCAUCCUACUUUUCCUGUUAAGAGAGUUUUAAAAAAAGCAUUUUAUUGCCCCUCACGGUACUGUCCAGCUUCAACUCAAAUUAAGUUUUGGCCAUAUGAAUUUUCUCCCUACAAAGGCAAACAGUAUCUCUGUAGUCCUUCCAUGUUGCCUGACUUCCCUUCCAGCAAACAGAAACUUUCCUCAUCUACCUACGAUCUAGAAGAAGGUCCCCUCCUAUCUGAGCCAACCUUCUACCACGGCUGCUUUACUGGAGACGGGAGAGGCACUAGCACUUUGCCUUCAGCACCCUGGGCAAAGGGUGGCAGCUCUGGGCUCGACACCCAGCUGUGCCCGGUUUCCUGCAGCCUCCAAUCCUGCUCAGCUCUUCACUGCCAUCUCUCCACAUUGUCCCAUUGCUCAUAGUUUGAUUCCUCCUUACAUGCAUGGAGAUGAACGAACAUAGCCAGUGGCUUUCCAUGGAGGUCUGGAGAGGCCCCUGCUGGGGACAAGCACCUUGUGCUUGCUAAAGGCAGUGGACUGGGCACCCAGCUGCAAUGGGAUGGUGGUGCCAGCCCUGCAGAGCUCCCCAGACAUUGCCCUAGGGGCAGAGCUGCUCCAGGAGUGUUAUUGCAGCCAGGAACUGGGCAAAGGUUGGGAAAGUUGGGCGGAGCCUUGUGCUUUCUGCAGCUCUGCUGGGUGCCGUGAGGGACAUCUACCUUGGCUUGGAGAAAAACACCUGGGGGGCCACCUGCCCCCCGAGGGACCUCAAUCUCCGAUGGGGCUCCCCUGGGGCUGUGGCUGCCCCAACCUCACCACCUAUGCCAGGGGCCUCCUGACUUUCCUCGUCACUCUGCUGGGCUCAGCCCAGCUCACAGUGGUGGGAACAGGACACCCUGUCACUGCCACUGUGGGGCAGGAUGUCGUGCUGCCCUGCCACUUG